GAAAGCUUAUGCUCAAAUAACUUGGUUAGUCUGUAAGGUGCCGCAAGUCCUACUUUUCUUUCUGCGGAUACAGACUAACAUUGCUGCUACUCUGAAACCUGUAUUCUUGUAGUGUGACUAUGCUGUAUGCCUGAAGCUAAGGAACUGGGAGCAGGAGUCACUUUCUGAACCAGGGUAUUUCAGUUGGCCAUGUAAUAUUUUGUGGCAGCGAUAGGUUUAGUUUUUGCAGGGUCUGUGGGAAUUAUGUCUUUUAUGUCUUAUUCCAUCCCUUUAAUAAUAGUAGGACACUUCUACUGUCUUGAACAAAUUCUGGAAAGUCAUUAGCCAUCUCUGAGUAAUUUCAGUUCUGAACCGGAUCUUGGAGCCAUAUUCCUGUCUGACUAGUGGAGUAUUUCAUUGAUUCAGUGUGUGUCAACAAAGCUCUCUUACUAUUUUUAUGAAGGGUAAGGCCCUGAUGCUUAGGUUAGUGUAAAAUUCAGUGGACUUACGCUGAUCUGGAGUUUUUCAUCCAGACUUCAGUGCUUCACUGCCUAUUCCGCAGUUUCUUUUGUUUUUGGCAGAAAUGUUUUGAUUUAUGCCCCUGGUUUAUGUGUGUGUGUGUAAAUUUUACUCAGAAAUGAAAUACUUUCAGAGUUUUGUUUUAGGAAGACUAGAAAAGUGGAUUCAUUCCAAGGAAAACUUUCAGUGCUUUCCCUUUCUUCCACAGUCCUAAUGAGAACCCCAAGCAUAUGGUAGCUAAUUAAACUUGUGCUGCUUGGGGAUAGUUAGAAUAUCAUGGAACUUUUAAUGAGUAAAGUGUGAUAAUUUCUCUGUGAUUCAUUGUAACUGUGUAAAAAUUUUUCACAGUUUAAAUAUAAAAAUGGGUAAAAAUGACUAUUAAAGGCAGUGGAAACUAAAUUUUUAAAAUUAGUUUCCAUUAUGACAUGGAGACCAGUGGAGUUUCCUAUACUGAAUUGUAUGGUGUGCGACUAUCUUCUGGAAUAGUAACAUGGAUGUUUUUUGUGUUGCAUUUAAAUUACAGUUGGGAGUGGAGAGGAGGGGAACGGAAAUUUAUCUUUCUGCUUGGAAAAAAAGUGGGGAAGAUGCUCUCUGAAGAGCCCAUUCAUUUCUGGGAAGCUUAUGUUUAGUGAUCCUACCAAAUAUUUGGCUGCAGUUUCUCCUUCUUCAUCUCAAUGUGUAAGCCGUGACUAAAUGCUGCUCUGACCUGAUGUUUGAAGGAAUUGUCAUUUGAGUGGAACUGUGGGAGUGCUAUUGUGUUUCAAGACCUCUGAGCAUCAUCUCUGAUGUUUGUAAUCCCUUCUGGGCAAAAAUGAGUUAGACCAAAGGUUAUCCUUGCAUCCAGAGGUGGCAGAAAUUGCUUCACUUCGCUCACCGAAUUAAGCUGGCAAUUUCUCGAUCUGCAAAUAUCACUCAACAUUUCUAUUGGGACAAUGUCCUGUUUCGAGCCAUUUGCUGCAUCAGUUAUAUGCUUCUCCAAUUUUACUGUGAAUGUAAAGCUUUCUGUUGAAAACCUCUGUUCAAUGGCAGCUUUGCAAGCAUCAAUGAUCCCGACAUAUAUUCGAUGAAAAUACUCUUUGGGUCACUGAAGGUGUGAGGGAAGGCUUCCAUGGUCGAGCCAUCUCGGUGGCUUGCAUUUUCUCAGGAGUGUAGGAUCAUCUAAAUAAAGAUUUCUUGCCUUCUCUACUGUUGUUUCCCAGAAGUGAUUGUAUGAUUAGUCGGUGCCCAUCCCACUCAACACCUCUUGCAACUGGCCAACUUUCUUCAUAACACUUGCCAAUGACAUGUUUGGGCUUUGAAUUUUUGCAUUAACUUCUUCUACAGGAUCCAUGGCUUUCACAAGAACUGUUAUUGUAAAGUACGUUGAAAAAGAUUGAAGUUGCUUUGAGAAUCCAUUACAUUUUGAGCCAAAUUCAUCGGAAGAGUAACUAAAUUCCUUUAGGCAGUUCAUCAUGGCCUCAUAGUUUUGGAGCAGUGAUUUAAUGCUACUGAUCCUUAGUGUCCAUCUUGUUGGGCACAAUGGUCAUAAAGAAGGCUCCCCUUUGCUGUGAAAGCUGCCAUACACUUUGGUGACUCCCUGAAGGCAUUGAUGAGAUCUUUCACCUUCAAAAACAUAUCACGACAUUCUUGAAUAUUAUGCAGGGCAUCCUGCGUGGCAAGGUUAAGGGAAUGUGCAGUACAGUGCACAAAUUCCACUCUUGGCUCUCGAUCCUUCACUCUGGCUUGGACCCCAGUAGAUUUGUCAGACACAUUACUGGCUCCGUUGUAACACUGCCCCAGGCAUUCAGAAAGGGCAAAUCACACCUGAGAAGUGUAUCUUCCACAAUUUUGAAAAGAGAAGCAGUAUCCAUUGCAACAGUUUGGUAAAACCCAAUAAACUCGUAAAUCUCCCAGUCUUCACUAGAAAAGAACCUUAAAGAAAAACUUAUUUGUUCUUUUCUUGACAAAUUGGUAGUCUCAUCCAUUACAAUGGCAUAAAACUGUGAAGACUUUAUCUUUUGCACAAUUCGCCUUAGUGCCAUCCUUGCCAUCAUUUAUAUUAUUUCGUUAAUAACCUCAUGUGACAGCCACUUGUAUUUUGUGCAACUAAUCCACUGUCUCAGUUCCUCUGAAUCUGUACUGCCUAGCAACAAGAGCUGCAUCAAAUUUGUAUCACUCUCAUUAUGUCCACCUAAUACUAUUCCUUGUUGAGCUAGGUACUGAACACUGUUCAAAAUUUUGUGAAGUGCAUUUCUAGCUGAUUGUGAUUCUUUUCUCUAACUGGCCGACAUUAGUGCAGAAACAUUGACCUGCGAUUGCAGAGCAGAAUACUUCAUUACUGCUUCCUUGUGACAGCUGGAUUUCCGUGUGAUGUAAAACCAUGCAGUGCGUGUCACCAAUCUUGAAAUCCGGAUGAAAUAAACGGUGGUUCGGCUUUCGUAGAAAAUAUUAAGAUCUUCUUUUCAGAACAGUUUUUGCAGACUGAGCAAAAAGCUCUGUCUAAUUUGCUAUUGUACUCCAGCCACGUAAAUCUUGAUAGCCAAGAUUGCUGAAAACUCCUUUUCUUAUCUUGGAGAUUUGCCACAUCUUUCUUUUGUAUAACUUCAGUUUGAAAGCUGCGUGUUGAGCUCAGGCCAUCACUUGAGGAAUUAUCCUUUUUCUUCUUUUUCUCUGGGUAACUUUAUUAAGAAUAUAUCCAUUGUUGAUUAUUACUGGUCCUACAAAUCAAGAAUUUGUUGCUGGGAUAAAAUGAAGCUAAAAUGCGCCGGCACCACAAAAUUACAAGGGCCAAUUAAAUGUGGAAAGUCAGAAGUAGCACUUGCCUGCUUCAAUAUAUUAUAUUUUGUUCUACCUGUAUACAACCAAUUAUAUACUUUAAAGGAUGUAAAAUAAUGAAGUAUUGUGCUAAACAUGAUCAUGCCCCAAACUGA
Molecule: long non-coding RNA, 3407 nt
Organism: Chelonia mydas (Green sea turtle)
Lineage: Eukaryota; Metazoa; Chordata; Testudines; Cheloniidae
Exons: 2
Source: RefSeq, a predicted model, not a curated record